This 265-nucleotide ribosomal RNA is filed under the name uncultured archaeon. RNAcentral describes it as "partial 16S ribosomal RNA". It matches the Rfam family "Archaeal small subunit ribosomal RNA", at positions 719 to 982 of the family's 1478-position model. The record is from RNAcentral.
ACACGACUACAUUAGAUACCCGUGUAGUCCAGGGUGUAAACGCUGCAGACUUGGUGUUGGGAACCCUUCGGGGGGUGCUCAAUGCCGGAGAGAAGUUGUUAAGUCUGCUACUUGGGGAGUACGUCCGCAAGGAUGAAACUUAAAGGAAUUGGCGGGGGAGCACCGCAACGGGAGGAGCGUGCGGUUUAAUUGGAUUCAACGCCGAAAACUCACCAGCAGCGACUGUUACAUGAAAGUCAGGUUGAUGACCUUACUAGAUUUUCAG